AGAGUUUGAUCAUGGCUCAGGAUGAACGCUGGCGGCGUGCCUAAUACAUGCAAGUCGAGCGAAUGGAUUAAGAGCUUGCUCUUAUGAAGUUAGCGGCGGACGGGUGAGUAACACGUGGGUAACCUGCCCAUAAGACUGGGAUAACUCCGGGAAACCGGGGCUAAUACCGGAUAACAUUUUGAACCGCAUGGUUCGAAAUUGAAAGGCGGCUUCGGCUGUCACUUAUGGAUGGACCCGCGUCGCAUUAGCUAGUUGGUGAGGUAACGGCUCACCAAGGCAACGAUGCGUAGCCGACCUGAGAGGGUGAUCGGCCACACUGGGACUGAGACACGGCCCAGACUCCUACGGGAGGCAGCAGUAGGGAAUCUUCCGCAAUGGACGAAAGUCUGACGGAGCAACGCCGCGUGAGUGAUGAAGGCUUUCGGGUCGUAAAACUCUGUUGUUAGGGAAGAACAAGUGCUAGUUGAAUAAGCUGGCACCUUGACGGUACCUAACCAGAAAGCCACGGCUAACUACGUGCCAGCAGCCGCGGUAAUACGUAGUGGCAAGCGUUAUCCGGAAUUAUUGGCGUAAAGCGCGCGCAGUGGUUUCUUAGUCUGAUGUGCUGCCCACGGCUCAACCGUGGAGGGUCAUUGGAAACUGGGAGACUUGAUUGCAGAAGAGGAAAGUGGAAUUCCAUGUGUAGCGGUGAAAUGCGUAGAGAUAUGGAGGAACACCAGUGGCGAAGGCGACUUUCUGGUCUGUAACUGACACUGAGGCGCGAAAGCGUGGGGAGCAAACAGGAUUAGA
Molecule: ribosomal RNA, 789 nt
Filed under: Bacillus cereus
Lineage: Bacteria; Bacillati; Bacillota; Bacilli; Caryophanales; Bacillaceae
Description: bacterial SSU rRNA
Rfam family: Bacterial small subunit ribosomal RNA
Source: RNAcentral